This is a long non-coding RNA of Ananas comosus (pineapple), 1300 nucleotides long. RefSeq lists it as uncharacterized. NCBI's taxonomy places the organism in Eukaryota, Viridiplantae, Streptophyta, Magnoliopsida, Poales, Bromeliaceae. The transcript has 8 exons. The record is from RefSeq and is a predicted model, not a curated record.
CUUUUCUCUUCGCCUCGCCUCGUCCCACUCGAUCUUUAAGGAAACCCUCUAGGGUUAGGGUUAGGGUUAGGGUGAGGGUGAGGGUGAGGGUGAGGGUUUUUGAAGGGAGGAGAUCGAGACAUUUGAGGCGAGGGUGGAGGAUGGCGCCCAGGAAGGGAGCGCCAUCCACUCGGGAACUGCAGAAGAUCCUCGACAAGCUCGAUGAGCUCAAAAAUGAAGAAGCAGACAAAAUUUUUGAGGUUGAACAGAAGUAUGUAGACAUAAGAAGAGCUAUAUACAAGCGGCGGAAUGAGAUCAUCAGAUCUAUUCCUGACUUUUGGUUAACUGCAGUAUGUGCUUAAAACAUGUUCGUGUCGAUGUCUUUGAUAAGGAGAACACUCAUGCGAUUUAUUUCCUGGAUUAUCCCUCUGGACAGUUUCUGAACCAUCCGUUAGUUUGUGAUCUUCUCACUGAUGAUGACCAAAAGAUCUUGAAGUACCUGAUUUUGUUUGAUGUGGAUGACUAUAAAGAUAAAAAAUCAGGCUAUUCCUACACUGAAAUUUUCCCCUAACCCAUAUUUUGAAGAUGCAUGCCUGAGAAAAACAUACAUAUUUCACGAUGACGGAAUAGUCACUAUAACUGGUGCAACAAUUAAAUGGAAGGAGGGGAUGUAUACAGGAAAUGAUGAUAUUCGUGAGAAGAAUGAUUGCAAAAAAGUCUCCUCUCAUGUAUAAAGCUUCUUUGGCUGGCUUAGUAGAACUCAGCAGCUAAAUGUCUUGGAGUGGAAUGACGAUAAGGUAGCAGUGAUUGUCAAGGAAAAUUUGUGGCCAAAUCCUUUGAAAUACUAUAAAAUGGAAGCUGAGGAGGAUGUUGAACGAGAUUAAGAUGAUGCUAAUGUAGUGUUAAAGGACUCCGAUCACUACUUGAUCGGCUAAGUUGAUUCUCGGAAGGAAAUGCUGCUCCCAUGGCGAGGAUUAUUAUGAGCAUGAAGGUGGUUGAGAGGACGUUUGCCAACGACGGGCACUAGGUUUUCCCUUUCUUCUCUUCUCUCGGGUGAUAAUGUCAAUGAAGCCAAAUUUGCUAAUGAUGUUAUCCGUUUGAUUUACUUAUACUUCCCUUCGAACGGGAGGUACGAGCAUAAAUUCUCCGUGCCGUCAUGCCUUCUUUGUUCCUGUUUCUCUGGAACUGCUGUACAGUACAGCCUACUAUUGCAUUUUUGGUCGAUCUUUCAAGGACCAGUGAACAUGUAAUUCCCACUCUAAGAUUUUUGAAAUACACCACUCAACUAUUGGCUUUGGAAUGCUGCCUAGGCAACUAACGA